RNAcentral lists this long non-coding RNA (272 nucleotides) under Brassica rapa (field mustard). RNAcentral describes it as "long non-coding RNA (BRAP_LNC007088)". Lineage: Eukaryota; Viridiplantae; Streptophyta; Magnoliopsida; Brassicales; Brassicaceae. The record is from RNAcentral.
AAACAAUCAUUUUUAUUUAUCAUAAUUAGUGUUAUAAAAGCACUAUUUAUCUUCUUGUAUAAUCCAUUUUCAAGUAUUGUUAUUUUAUUGACAAUAUUUAUUUAAAACUAUUUUAUUUUAUAAGAACAUACGAAAAUAACCACCGCGGCGUAGUGCGGGUAAUUUCCUAGUGUUGCUGGAAAUUAGACAAAAAAGUUUACUCUGGAUAUGAGGUUAAUAUGUGGGAAGACCCUUGGAUCCCUACCACACCGGCUAGGUCGGCUCGACCUUUG